UACGAAGGGGGCUAGCGUUGUUCGGAAUCACUGGGCGUAAAGCGCACGUAGGCGGAUCUUUAAGUCAGGGGUGAAAUCCCGAGGCUCAACCUCGGAACUGCCUUUGAUACUGGGGAUCUCGAGUCCGGGAGAGGUGAGUGGAACUGCGAGUGUAGAGGUGAAAUUCGUAGAUAUUGGGAGGAACACCAGUGGCGAAGGCGGCUCACUGGACCGGAACUGACGCUGAGGCGCGAAAGCGUGGGGAGCAAACAGG
This 253-nucleotide ribosomal RNA is filed under the name uncultured bacterium. RNAcentral's name for it is "partial 16S ribosomal RNA". It matches the Rfam family "Bacterial small subunit ribosomal RNA", at positions 524 to 776 of the family's 1533-position model. The record is from RNAcentral.